UAAAAUUUUUUGGAACUAAACAAGGCCCUAGUAGCCUCACCUAGACACCGUAAUGCUAGAUUCAGGAGAUGUUUGGUUGCUAGCUACAGUUUGCCACGCUUUAUCUUAGGCAAGUUUAAUCAAAUUGGCAAGUGUUUGAUUGACAACUAAGUUUAGGCAUGAUUCUUUUGGACUACACAUGUCAUAGAGUUAAAAAGUGUGGCAAGAUUCCUUUAGACAUAACAAAAUGUGGCAAUCAAUUUGCUAGCCACACUUUUUUUAGUUUGCCACACUUAUCUAAAGUUAAGUUGUGGUAAACUAUGAUUAACAACAAACAUCCCCUUAGUGCGGUAGUGCCGAGUGGGCGAACCGUCGCCGUCAGCGCGCGCCAUCUCUUCUCGCCACGGCGCGGCGGCAUGUGGCGGGGCGUGCUGUGCUGCCGUGCUGGCGCACGAAUGGCGCUCGCGCACCAUAUACCCUGAUCCCGACACGAAAAAGAGGAAACCCCUCAGCCCUCACUAGAUUCCUAGUGGGCCAGCCUCGUCGUAGGCCGAUAGCCAGUCCAGCCACACCCACACAACACGCGGACGCCCCACUUCACCACGGCACCACCGGCCGGCCACCGGGCGCCAAAAGGAACGGAACGGCGCAGCCGCGGCGGCGGCGGCGGCUGUAAGCUCCCGCACCAGCGACCGGCGGACACGUACACGGUAUAUCGAUCUCCCCUCGCACAGUCCCACGCAACCCGUCCUCGGCCUCGUUCCGUCCGCCAGCAAUGCCGCUGGCGCUCGCGCAGCUGCAGGACCUGCGGGACCGCAUCUCCGACCACCUCCGCCCAUGGAGCCGCUCCGCGCAGUUCUGGGUCCGCGCCGCGGACAUCUACACCAGCUAUAAGGUGUGCCAGCUGCGGGCGGGGUUUGUGAAGGAUGAGGACGAGCGGGAGGCCAUGUGGGAGCAGCAGCACGAGCUCGGCGCCCAGAAGAUGUACUCCCUCUGCUCCGAGCUCGGCGGUCUUUUCCUCAAGGCUGCUCAAAUUCUGGGAAAACCUGACCUGGCACCGAUGGCUUGGGUGAAGAGACUUGUCACGCUGUGUGAUCAGGCCCCAGCCACGCCAUUUGUUGUGGUUAGAGAUGUUGUGGAGAAACAGUUUGGAAAGAACUUCGAUGACAUAUUCGAAUUCUUCGAUGUCGAGCCUGUUGGGUCUGCUUCUAUUGCACAGGUGCAUCGAGCAAGGCUUAAAUUAUCAAAGGCAGACGUUGCUGUCAAGGUUCAACAUCCAGGAGCCGAGCAUUUGAUGAUGGUUGAUAUUCGGAAUAUGCAAGCAAUGGCCUUGUUUCUGCAGAAGUAUGACAUCAACUUUGAUCUAUUCUCUGCCACCAAAGAGAUGGAAAAGCAGAUAUGCUAUGAAUUUGACUUUGUGCGUGAAGCAAGAGCAAUGGAAAGAAUACGAGAAUUCCUACGUGUCACCAAUAAGAAACCUCCAGUUAUGGUGCCUCGUGUGAUUCCUGGGAUGGUUAGCAGAGAGGUUUUGGUAAUGGAAUUCAUCAAAGGGACCCCAAUAAUGAAUCUUGGCAAUGAAAUGGCUAAAAGGGGCAUCGAUCCUGGUGGUAAGAUUGCAGCAAUGGCAAAGCAGAAGAUUUUGUCAGAUCUUACUCUUGCAUAUGGUCAAAUGAUCUUGAAGGAUGGCUUUUUCCAUGCAGAUCCACACCCAGGAAACAUCCUUAUCUGUAAGGACACAGAGGUGGCUUUACUUGAUUAUGGACAAGUGAAAGAAAUGCCAGAAGAUUUGCGGCUUGCUUAUGCAAAUCUUGUAGUUGCAAUGGCUGAUGAUGAUUUCUUGAGGGCUGAGGAAAGUUUCAGGGAGCUCGGUAUCCGAACAUGGGCCAUAACUGAUAACAAGCUAGAAGAAUUGUUUCAAUUAUCCCUGCGAAUGUUUGAUACAAGAUUACCACCAGGUGUAACUGUUAUGUCACCUUUUGCCGAUGAUUCUUCGCUUAAUAAAAUUGGAGUGGAGAGCUUCCCGGAAGAGUUAUUUUCAGUGCUUCGAACAAUUCAGCUUUUGCGAGGGUUGACUGUAGGCAUGGGCCUUACAUUCUCGUGCGCUCAGCAUUGGAGACCAAUCGCUGAGGAAGUAUUGUUAAAGGCUGGAAGACAAAAUGCUUCAAAAUCAAGAAAUCAAAAGAGAAGUUUUCUCAGGAGACUUUUUUGGUGAAGUAGGGAUAGGGACCAUCAAAGAAUAUGGUAUACGAACAAUUCUAUGAUGAAAUGGAAGUAGCCAUAAAUCUCAAGCCUUCGAUUCUUAUAUUCACAGUACAUCUGUUCACUUUUUUUUUGAGAGGCAUCUGUUCACAUUCAUUUACAUUGGAUUUGCAGGCCAAAAAUCUCGGCCCAUUAUCAAACGUGCAAACCUACGGAACCAUCCUCCAGGAGAUCAAUGCAAGGAGACGGAGCUUCACAAGAGCAGAUUUCGUCUUUGAAGUGUGAAGAUCGAAUGUUGACGCUCAUCUAGUCGCUAGAAGCUCUAUAAAUUUAUUGAUAGGUAGACAUGCUUGGUUUUUGGAGCCUCCUGAUGGAGUUUGUAAUCCUUAUCCUGCUGAUUGAAUAAAGUCAGAGCUCCCCUAAAAAAAGGAAAAAAAAAACAUGUACACAUUCAUGCUCAAAAUACUCCAAAUAUCGUGUGGGGACAAACACAAUACUCCAUCCGUUCUUUUAAUUUGUCACAUUGAACAUUGAUCUUUACUUGGUCAAA
Molecule: RNA transcript, 2728 nt
Organism: Sorghum bicolor (sorghum)
Lineage: Eukaryota; Viridiplantae; Streptophyta; Magnoliopsida; Poales; Poaceae
Exons: 13
Source: RefSeq, a predicted model, not a curated record